GAGCCGCGGUAAAACGUAGGAGGCGAGCGUUAUCCGGAUUUACUGGGUGUAAAGCGCGUGCAGGCGGCUGGUCAAGUCCGAUGUGAAAUCUCCCGGCUCAACUGGGAAACUGCAUCGGAAACUGAUCGGCUUGAAGGUGGGAGAGGGUAGUGGAAUUCCCGGUGUAGUGGUGAAAUGCGUAGAUAUCGGGAGGAACACCAGUGGCGAAGGCGACUACCUGGCCCAUUCUUGACGCUGAGGCGCGAAAGCUAGGGGAGCGAAC
This 262-nucleotide ribosomal RNA is filed under the name uncultured bacterium. RNAcentral's name for it is "partial 16S ribosomal RNA". It matches the Rfam family "Bacterial small subunit ribosomal RNA", at positions 512 to 773 of the family's 1533-position model. The record is from RNAcentral.